This 433-nucleotide ribosomal RNA is filed under the name uncultured bacterium. RNAcentral's name for it is "partial 16S ribosomal RNA". It matches the Rfam family "Bacterial small subunit ribosomal RNA", at positions 29 to 507 of the family's 1533-position model. The record is from RNAcentral.
AACGAACGCUGGCGGCAUGCCUAACACAUGCAAGUCGAACGAAGGCUUCGGCCUUAGUGGCGCACGGGUGCGUAACGCGUGGGAAUCUGCCCUUUGGUUCGGAAUAACAGCUGGAAACGGCUGCUAAUACCGGAUGAUGACGAAAGUCCAAAGAUUUAUCGCCAGAGGAUGAGCCCGCGUUGGAUUAGGUAGUUGGUGGGGUAAAGGCCUACCAAGCCGACGAUCCAUAGCUGGUCUGAGAGGAUGAUCAGCCACACUGGGACUGAGACACGGCCCAGACUCCUACGGGAGGCAGCAGUAGGGAAUAUUGGACAAUGGGCGCAAGCCUGACCCAGCAAUGCCGCGUGAGUGAUGAAGGCCCUAGGGUUGUAAAGCUCUUUUACCCGGGAAGAUAAUGACUGUACCGGGAGAAUAAGCCCCGGCUAACUCCGUG